GACGAACGCUGGCGGCGUGCUUAACACAUGCAAGUCGAACGGAAAGGCCCUGCUUUUGUGGGGUGCUCGAGUGGCGAACGGGUGAGUAACACGUGAGUAACCUGCCCUUGACUUUGGGAUAACUUCAGGAAACUGGGGCUAAUACCGGAUAGGAGCUCCUGCUGCAUGGUGGGGGCUGGAAAGUUUCGGCGGUUGGGGAUGGACUCGCGGCUUAUCAGCUGGUUGGUGGGGUAGUGGCUUACCAAGGCUUUGACGGGUAGCCGGCCUGAGAGGGUGACCGGCAACAUUGGGACUGAGAUAAGGCCCAGACUACUACGGGAGGCAGCAGUGGGGAAGAUUGCACAAGGGGGGGAAGACGGAUGCAGCAACGCCGCGUGCGGGAUGACGGCGUUCGGGUUGUAAACAGCUUUCGCCUGUGACGAAGCGUGAGUGACGGUAAUGGGUAAAGAAGCACCGGCUAACUACGUG
RNAcentral lists this ribosomal RNA (468 nucleotides) under uncultured bacterium. Its description in RNAcentral is "partial 16S ribosomal RNA". It matches the Rfam family "Bacterial small subunit ribosomal RNA", at positions 28 to 507 of the family's 1533-position model. The record is from RNAcentral.